GGAACACUGAGUUUCAGGUUGGGGGUGGAGUAACCGCUUUGAAAUCAGAAGCAAAACUGGGGACGGCAGAGAGUCGGUGCUGAUUGGUCAGUGUUUUCCACAUGUUUUCUGGGAUGCCUGUCUGACCUUGUCUGGCUGACCAGGCGCAGUGCUAGGGAGAUCCUCUGUGUUUUUGAGUUUCCUCAGGAGGUCUUACUUUGAGGAAGCUAUCUACUGCUACAAAAACUCAGAUGCUGUGGAUAAAAAAGUCUACAGGAGGGGACAUUUAUGAGAAGUGUCCACAGACAGUAUCAGUGUUACUACAGAGAAGUUGGCCUUCCUGACAGACACAGCUAUCCUCCGAAGCUGGGGAAAGGAGGCAGGUGAGCCUGGGGG
RNAcentral lists this long non-coding RNA (375 nucleotides) under Mus spicilegus (steppe mouse). RNAcentral describes it as "lncRNA (ENSMSIG00000026308.1)". The record is from RNAcentral. Lineage: Eukaryota; Metazoa; Chordata; Mammalia; Rodentia; Muridae.